GAUGAACGCUGGCGGCGUGCCUAAUACAUGCAAGUCGAGCGAACGGACGAGAAGCUUGCUUCUCUGAUGUUAGCGGCGGACGGGUGAGUAACACGUGGAUAACCUACCUAUAAGACUGGGAUAACUUCGGGAAACCGGAGCUAAUACCGGAUAAUAUUUUGAACCGCAUGGUUCAAAAGUGAAAGACGGUCUUGCUGUCACUUAUAGAUGGAUCCGCGCUGCAUUAGCUAGUUGGUAAGGUAACGGCUUACCAAGGCAACGAUGCAUAGCCGACCUGAGAGGGUGAUCGGCCACACUGGAACUGAGACACGGUCAAGACUCCUACGGGAGGCAGCAGUAGGGAAUCUUCCGCAAUGGGCGAAAGCCUGACGGAGCAACGCCGCGUGAGUGAUGAAGGUCUUCGGAUCGUAAAACUCUCUUAUUAGGGAAGAACAUAUGUGUAAGUAACUGUGCACAUCUUGACGGUACCUAAUCAGAAAGCCACGGCUAACUACGUG
RNAcentral lists this ribosomal RNA (497 nucleotides) under uncultured bacterium. RNAcentral describes it as "partial 16S ribosomal RNA". It matches the Rfam family "Bacterial small subunit ribosomal RNA", at positions 28 to 507 of the family's 1533-position model. The record is from RNAcentral.